UACGAAGGGUGCUAGCGUUGUUCGGAAUCACUGGGCGUAAAGCGCGCGUAGGCGGCUUAGCAAGUCAGAGGUGAAAUGCCAGGCUCAACCCUGGAACUGCCUUUGAAACUGCUAAGCUAGAGUGUCGGAGGGAUAGCGGGAAUUGCUAAUGUAGAGGUGAAAUUCGUAGAUAUUAGCAGGAACACCGGUGGCGAAGGCGGCUAU
This 204-nucleotide ribosomal RNA is filed under the name uncultured bacterium. RNAcentral's name for it is "partial 16S ribosomal RNA". It matches the Rfam family "Bacterial small subunit ribosomal RNA", at positions 524 to 728 of the family's 1533-position model. The record is from RNAcentral.